RNAcentral lists this ribosomal RNA (496 nucleotides) under uncultured bacterium. RNAcentral's name for it is "partial 16S ribosomal RNA". It matches the Rfam family "Bacterial small subunit ribosomal RNA", at positions 29 to 507 of the family's 1533-position model. The record is from RNAcentral.
AUGAACGCUGGCGGCGUGCCUAAUACAUGCAAGUCGAGCGAACAGAUGAGGAGCUUGCUCCUCUGACGUUAGCGGCGGACGGGUGAGUAACACGUGGAUAACCUACCUAUAAGACUGGGAUAACUCCGGGAAACCGGAGCUAAUACCGGAUAAUAUAUUGAACCGCAUGGUUCAAUAGUGAAAGACGGUUUUGCUGUCACUUAUAGAUGGAUCCGCGCCGCAUUAGCUAGUUGGUAAGGUAACGGCUUACCAAGGCAACGAUGCGUAGCCGACCUGAGAGGGUGAUCGGCCACACUGGAACUGAGACACGGUCCAGACUCCUACGGGAGGCAGCAGUAGGGAAUCUUCCGCAAUGGGCGAAAGCCUGACGGAGCAACGCCGCGUGAGUGAUGAAGGUCUUCGGAUCGUAAAACUCUGUUAUUAGGGAAGAACAAAUGUGUAAGUAACUAUGCACGUCUUGACGGUACCUAAUCAGAAAGCCACGGCUAACUACGUG